CCUACGGGUGGCAGCAGUGAGGAAUAUUGGUCAAUGGACGCGAGUCUGAACCAGCCAAGUCGCGUGAAGGAUGACUGCCCUAUGGUUUGUAAACUUCUUUUAUAGGGGAGUAAAACGAGCCACGCGUGCCUUUUUGCAUGUACCUUAUGAAUAAGCAUCGGCUAACUCCGUGCCAGCAGCCGCGGUAAUACGGAGGAUCCGAGCGUUAUCCGGAUUUAUUGGGUUUAAAGGGAGCGUAGAUGGGUUGUUAAGUCAGUUGUGAAAGUUUGCGGCUCAACCGUAAAAUUGCAAUUGAUACUGGCAGUCUUGAGUACAGUUGAGGUAGGCGGAAUUCGUGGUGUAGCGGUGAAAUGCUUAGAUAUCACGAAGAACCCCGAUUGCGAAGGCAGCUUACUAAACUGUGACUGACAUUGAUGCACGAAAGUGUGGGUAUCAAACAGGAUUAGAUACCCGAGUAGUC
This 460-nucleotide ribosomal RNA is filed under the name uncultured bacterium. RNAcentral describes it as "partial 16S ribosomal RNA". It matches the Rfam family "Bacterial small subunit ribosomal RNA", at positions 338 to 795 of the family's 1533-position model. The record is from RNAcentral.